GACGAACGCUGGCGGCGUGCUUAACACAUGCAAGUCGAACGGAAAGGCCCUGCUUUUGUGGGGUGCUCGAGUGGCGAACGGGUGAGUAACACGUGAGUAACCUGCCCUUGACUUUGGGAUAACUUCAGGAAACUGGGGCUAAUACCGGAUAGGAGCUCCUGCUGCAUGGUGGGGGUUGGAAAGUUUCGGCGGUUGGGGAUGGACUCGCGGCUUAUCAGCUUGUUGGUGGGGUAGUGGCUUACCAAGGCUUUGACGGGUAGCCGGCCUGAGAGGGUGACCGGCCACAUUGGGACUGAGAUACGGCCCAGACUCCUACGGGAGGCAGCAGUGGGGAAUAUUGCACAAUGGGCGGAAGCCUGAUGCAGCAACGCCGCGUGCGGGAUGACGGCCUUCGGGUUGUAAACCGCUUUCGCCUGUGACGAAGCGUGAGUGACGGUAAUGGGUAAAGAAGCACCGGCUAACUACGUGCCAGCAGCCGCGGUGAUACGUAGGGUGCGAGCGUUGUCCGGAUUUAUUGGGCGUAAAGGGCUCGUAGGUGGUUGAUCGCGUCGGAAGUGUAAUCUUGGGGCUUAACCCUGAGCGUGCUUUCGAUACGGGUUGACUUGAGGAAGGUAGGGGAGAAUGGAAUUCCUGGUGGAGCGGUGGAAUGCGCAGAUAUCAGGAGGAACACCAGUGGCGAAAGCGGUUCUCUGGGCCUUUCCUGACGCUGAGGAGCGAAAAGCGUGGGGAGCGAACAGGCUUAGAUACCCUGGUAGUCCACGCUGUAAACGGUGGGUACUAGGUGUGGGGUCCAUUCCACGGGUUCCGUGCCGUAGCUAACGCUUUAAGUACCCCGCCUGGGGAGUACGGCCGCAAGGCUAAAACUCAAAGGAAUUGACGGGGCCCCGCACAAGCGGCGGAGCAUGCGGAUUAAUUCGAUGCAACGCGUAGAACCUUACCUGGGUUUGACAUGGAUCGGGAGUGCUCAGAGAUGGGUGUGCCUCUUUUGGGGUCGGUUCACAGGUGGUGCAUGGCUGUCGUCAGCUCGUGUCGUGAGAUGUUGGGUUAAGUCCCGCAACGAGCGCAACCCUUGUUCACUGUUGCCAGCACGUUAUGGUGGGGACUCAGUGGAGACCGCCGGGGUCAACUCGGAGGAAGGUGGGGAUGACGUCAAGUCAUCAUGCCCCUUAUGUCCAGGGCUUCACGCAUGCUACAAUGGCUGGUACAGAGAGUGGCGAGCCUGUGAGGGUGAGCGAAUCUCGGAAAGCCGGUCUCAGUUCGGAUUGGGGUCUGCAACUCGACCUCGUGAAGUCGGAGUCGCUAGUAAUCGCAGAUCAGCAACGCUGCGGUGAAUAAGUUCCCGGG
This 1344-nucleotide ribosomal RNA is filed under the name uncultured bacterium. RNAcentral's name for it is "16S ribosomal RNA". It matches the Rfam family "Bacterial small subunit ribosomal RNA", at positions 28 to 1378 of the family's 1533-position model. The record is from RNAcentral.